This 425-nucleotide ribosomal RNA is filed under the name uncultured bacterium. Its description in RNAcentral is "partial 16S ribosomal RNA". It matches the Rfam family "Bacterial small subunit ribosomal RNA", at positions 354 to 796 of the family's 1533-position model. The record is from RNAcentral.
GUGGGGAAUAUUGGACAAUGGGCGAAAGCCUGAUCCAGCAAUGCCGCGUGAGUGAAGAAGGCCUUAGGGUUGUAAAGCUCUUUUACCCGGGAAGAUAAUGACUGUACCGGGAGAAUAAGCCCCGGCUAACUCCGUGCCAGCAGCCGCGGUAAUACGGAGGGGGCUAGCGUUGUUCGGAAUUACUGGGCGUAAAGCGCACGUAGGCGGCUUUGUAAGUUAGAGGUGAAAGCCCAGGGCUCAACCCUGGAACUGCCUUUAAGACUGCAUCGCUUGAACACGGGAGAGGUGAGUGGAAUUCCGAGUGUAGAGGUGAAAUUCGUAGAUAUUCGGAAGAACACCAGUGGCGAAGGCGACUCACUGGACCGUUGUUGACGCUGAGGUGCGAAAGCGUGGGGAGCAAACAGGAUUAGAAACCCUAGUAGUCC